RNAcentral lists this ribosomal RNA (395 nucleotides) under Klebsiella pneumoniae. Its description in RNAcentral is "partial 23S ribosomal RNA". It matches the Rfam family "Bacterial large subunit ribosomal RNA", at positions 567 to 961 of the family's 2925-position model. Lineage: Bacteria; Pseudomonadati; Pseudomonadota; Gammaproteobacteria; Enterobacterales; Enterobacteriaceae. The record is from RNAcentral.
CAACAAGUUCGAGCCCGUUAAUGGGUGAGAGCGUGCCUUUUGUAGAAUGAACCGGCGAGUUACGAUAUGAUGCGAGGUUAAGUUGAAGAGACGGAGCCGUAGGGAAACCGAGUCUUAAUAGGGCGCAUUAGUAUCAUGUCGUAGACCCGAAACCAUGUGACCUACCCAUGAGCAGGUUGAAGGUGAGGUAAAACUCACUGGAGGACCGAACCAGGGCACGUUGAAAAGUGCUUGGAUGACUUGUGGGUAGCGGAGAAAUUCCAAACGAACUUGGAGAUAGCUGGUUCUCUCCGAAAUAGCUUUAGGGCUAGCGUCGAUGUUAAGUCUCUUGGAGGUAGAGCACUGUUUGAUUGAGGGGUCCAUCCCGGAUUACCAAUAUCAGAUAAACUCCGAAU